CACGUAGUUAGCCGGUGCUUCUUAUUCCGGUACCGUCAUCCACACGGGAUAUUCACCCGUGCGAUUUCGUUCCGGCCGAAAGAGCUUUACAACCCGAAGGCCUUCUUCACUCACGCGGCAUGGCUGGAUCAGGGUUGCCCCCAUUGUCCAAAAUUCCCCACUGCUGCCUCCCGUAGGAGUCUGGGCCGUGUCUCAGUCCCAGUGUGGCUGGUCGUUCUCUCAAACCAGCUACGGAUCGUCGCCUUGGUAGGCUUUUACCCUACCAACUAGCUAAUCCGGCAUCGGCCGCUCCUCUCGCGCAAGGCCCUUGCGGGUCCCCUGCUUUCAUCUCUCGAUCUCAUGCGGUAUUAGCCAGUCUUUCGACUGGUUAUCCCCCACAAGAGGACACGUUCCGAUGCAUUACUCACCCGUGCGCCGCUCGCCGCCAGGGUUGCCCCCGCGCUGCCGCUCGACUUGCAUGUGUAAGGCAUGCCGCCAGCGUUCAAUCUGAGCCAGGAUCAAA
RNAcentral lists this ribosomal RNA (502 nucleotides) under uncultured beta proteobacterium. RNAcentral's name for it is "partial 16S ribosomal RNA". The record is from RNAcentral. Lineage: Bacteria; Pseudomonadati; Pseudomonadota; Betaproteobacteria.